Molecule: unclassified non-coding RNA, 324 nt
Filed under: uncultured Xanthoconium
Lineage: Eukaryota; Fungi; Basidiomycota; Agaricomycetes; Boletales; Boletaceae
Description: sequence contains ITS2
Source: RNAcentral
AAUCUUCAACCAUUCGUCUCGUCUUGUCUCCAAGACAGUGACUCAUGGCUUGGAUCUUGGAGGUUGCCGGCCUUUGUCUUCGUCGGCUCUUCUGAAAUACAUUAGCGAAUGUGAUAGGGUCACUCAGUGACGGCCUCUCUUUCGACGACGUCAUAAUGAUCGUCGUCCACACGGGAGGGGCUGGAGUGUAGGAUCUGAUCGUUCGCUUCCAAUCCAAACCCCGUCAAUCAAAUCGAUAAUCUCUCGUCUGUGUCUGUCGUCGUCCUCGCAUGACUUCAUUCCCAUUCGAUCGAUCUCUCCUUUGUUUGAACCCUGACUGAACCU